UUAUUUGAGAGUUUGAUCCUGGCUCAGGACGAACGCUGGCGGCGUGCCUAAUACAUGCAAGUUGAGCGCUGAAGGUUGGUACUUGUACCGACUGGAUGAGCAGCGAACGGGUGAGUAACGCGUGGGGAAUCUGCCUUUGAGCGGGGGACAACAUUUGGAAACGAAUGCUAAUACCGCAUAAAAACUUUAAACACAAGUUUUAAGUUUGAAAGAUGCAAUUGCAUCACUCAAAGAUGAUCCCGCGUUGUAUUAGCUAGUUGGUGAGGUAAAGGCUCACCAAGGCGAUGAUACAUAGCCGACCUGAGAGGGUGAUCGGCCACAUUGGGACUGAGACACGGCCCAAACUCCUACGGGAGGCAGCAGUAGGGAAUCUUCGGCAAUGGACGAAAGUCUGACCGAGCAACGCCGCGUGAGUGAAGAAGGUUUUCGGAUCGUAAAACUCUGUUGGUAGAGAAGAACGUUGGUGAGAGUGGAAAGCUCAUCAAGUGACGGUAACUACCCAGAAAGGGACGGCUAACUACGUGCCAGCAGCCGCGGUAAUACGUAGGUCCCGAGCGUUGUCCGGAUUUAUUGGGCGUAAAGCGAGCGCAGGUGGUUUAUUAAGUCUGGUGUAAAAGGCAGUGGCUCAACCAUUGUAUGCAUUGGAAACUGGUAGACUUGAGUGCAGGAGAGGAGAGUGGAAUUCCAUGUGUAGCGGUGAAAUGCGUAGAUAUAUGGAGGAACACCGGUGGCGAAAGCGGCUCUCUGGCCUGUAACUGACACUGAGGCUCGAAAGCGUGGGGAGCAAACAGGAUUAGAUACCCUGGUAGUCCACGCCGUAAACGAUGAGUGCUAGAUGUAGGGAGCUAUAAGUUCUCUGUAUCGCAGCUAACGCAAUAAGCACUCCGCCUGGGGAGUA
RNAcentral lists this ribosomal RNA (898 nucleotides) under Lactococcus lactis subsp. lactis bv. diacetylactis str. TIFN4. RNAcentral describes it as "bacterial SSU rRNA". It matches the Rfam family "Bacterial small subunit ribosomal RNA", at positions 1 to 882 of the family's 1533-position model. Lineage: Bacteria; Bacillati; Bacillota; Bacilli; Lactobacillales; Streptococcaceae. The record is from RNAcentral.